Molecule: ribosomal RNA, 619 nt
Filed under: Saitozyma podzolica
Lineage: Eukaryota; Fungi; Basidiomycota; Tremellomycetes; Tremellales; Trimorphomycetaceae
Description: eukaryotic LSU rRNA
Rfam family: Eukaryotic large subunit ribosomal RNA
Source: RNAcentral
CAUCGAUGGAUUCCCUUAGUAGCGGCGAGCGAAGCGGGAAGAGCUCAAAUUUGAAAGCUGGCGUCCUUCGGGCGUCCGCAUUGUAAUCUAUAGAGGCGUUUUCUGUGCUGGACCGUGUCCAAGUCCCUUGGAACAGGGUAUCAAAGAGGGUGACAAUCCCGUACUUGACACGACAACCAGUGCUCUGUGAUACGUCUUCUACGAGUCGAGUUGUUUGGGAAUGCAGCUCAAAAUGGGUGGUGAAUUCCAUCUAAAGCUAAAUAUUGGCGAGAGACCGAUAGCGAACAAGUACCGUGAGGGAAAGAUGAAAAGCACUUUGGAAAGAGAGUUAAACAGUAUGUGAAAUUGUUGAAAGGGAAACGAUGGAGGUCAGUCGUGUCUGUGGGAUUCAGCCGUCUCUGGCGGUGUACUUCCCACAGACGGGUCAACAUCAGUUUUGGUCGGCGGAUAAAGGCAGGAGGAAGGUGGCACCCCCGGGUGUGUUAUAGCCUCUUGUUGCAUACGCUGGCCGAGACUGAGGAAUGCAGCUCGCCUUUAUGGUCGGGGUUCGCCCACGUUCGAGCUUAGGAUGUAAACAAAAUGGCGGGCAACGACCGACCCGGCAAGAAACGGGCACCAC